Molecule: long non-coding RNA, 203 nt
Filed under: Vigna radiata
Lineage: Eukaryota; Viridiplantae; Streptophyta; Magnoliopsida; Fabales; Fabaceae
Description: long non-coding RNA (VRAD_LNC013718)
Source: RNAcentral
ACCCUUUAUGGCUUAGAAUGAGCUUAGAAUCAAGCAAAACACUUUGUUUAGUCAAAAGAUAGUCAAAAGUUGUUUUUAGAGAUAUUAUGCUUGUUUUUGCAUUGUUUUGUAGGAUUUGAUGAGAUUUGAGGAUGGAAGUGAAGAAGGGAGGACUUAGACUCAAGAAAAGAGGAGAAAAGGAAGAAAAGAAGAGUCAAGUUCAC